Molecule: ribosomal RNA, 431 nt
Filed under: uncultured bacterium
Lineage: Bacteria
Description: partial 16S ribosomal RNA
Rfam family: Bacterial small subunit ribosomal RNA
Source: RNAcentral
AACGAACGCUGGCGGCAGGCUUAACACAUGCAAGUCGAGCGCCCCGCAAGGGGAGCGGCAGACGGGUGAGUAACGCGUGGGAACGUACCUUUUGGUUCGGAACAACUCCGGGAAACUGGAGCUAAUACCGGAUAAGCCCUAACGGGGAAAGAUUUAUCGCCGAAAGAUCGGCCCGCGUCUGAUUAGCUAGUUGGUGAGGUAACGGCUCACCAAGGCGACGAUCAGUAGCUGGUCUGAGAGGAUGAUCAGCCACACUGGGACUGAGACACGGCCCAGACUCCUACGGGAGGCAGCAGUGGGGAAUAUUGGACAAUGGGCGCAAGCCUGAUCCAGCCAUGCCGCGUGAGUGAUGUAGGCCUUAGGGUUGUAAAGCUCUUUUGUCCGGGAAGAUAAUGACUGUACCGGAAGAAUAAGCCCCGGCUAACUUCGUG